Long non-coding RNA from Chinchilla lanigera (long-tailed chinchilla), 509 nucleotides. RefSeq lists it as uncharacterized. Lineage: Eukaryota; Metazoa; Chordata; Mammalia; Rodentia; Chinchillidae. The record is from RefSeq and is a predicted model, not a curated record. The transcript has 3 exons.
AGACUCUGAGUGGCACAAGGAGAGGAGCCAAAUCUGUUUUAUUCACUCCCGCAAAAGCUGCAGUUCCUGCCUCACACAGAGUCUCAGUGAAGCUAAAUAAGUUGCUUCCAGUUGCACAAGGGAGGCACAAGCCUCAACAAUGUUUGAAUUCCAGCCCAGCCUGCAAUUGCUGAGUGACCUUGAGGAGAUCACUGAAGACAUCUAGACUCCAGUGUCUUCACCUGCAAUAAGGGCAGGUUACAUUUAAAGUGCUAUGAAGAAUGUCUGGCAACAUAUGUGCCCAGGCUCAGCUGCUUGAGAAUUCCGAGUGCAUGGGCUGAGUAUGGGGCUGCUCCCGGCCUUGGCUGAUACCACCUGGCUCUGCCCGGGACUUUGAAAGAUGCAAUCCGGAAGAGGAAACAAUAUCUGUGUUGAGAGUAACUGCCCUUGGCCUGAAUUCGUCAAACAGGAUUUAUUGGGAGAAGGGGAGAGAAAGGAGGAGGGAGACAAACACACAGAAAGUAUAUUCU